This 2793-nucleotide ribosomal RNA is filed under the name Triticum aestivum (bread wheat). Its description in RNAcentral is "partial small subunit ribosomal RNA". The record is from RNAcentral. Lineage: Eukaryota; Viridiplantae; Streptophyta; Magnoliopsida; Poales; Poaceae.
AUGGUGCUGCAGAAACUCUUAUGCGUCUCAGUUUUCCUGCUGAUAUGCACAUCCAAGGCGAUCAACCCGGAAGCAGAAGCCCUUCUCCGAUGGAAAUCCACUUUGAUUGGCAGCACCAAGUCACUAUCCUCAUGGUCGAUUGCCAACCCUACCUGCUCUUGGUUCGGCAUCACCUGUGAUGCUGCCGGACAUGUCACCGAGCUCCAUCUUCCCAACGCGGGGCUCCAUGGUACGCUUCAUGCCUUCUACUCUCCAGCGUUCCAGAACCUCACCGCGCUCAACCUCAACAGCAACAACCUUGUUGGCCUUGUCCCAGCAAACAUCUCCCUGUUUCUCGUCCUCACCAUUCUGGACUUGAGCUAUAACAAUCUUGUUGGUGCCAUCCCCUACCAACUCAGUCACCUCCCAAAGAUUGUUAGGUUAGAUUUGCGAAAUAACCACUUGACCAACCCAGAAUAUGCCAACUUCUCACCUAUGUCGAGUUUGAAGUUGUUAUCUCUAGCUAAUAAUAAUCUCAGUGGUGCCUUCCCACAAUUCAUCAUCAACUCCACGAAUGUGGGGAUGAGAUCCCUCGAUUUAUCCGGUAACACCUUCUCAGGGCCGUUACCAGCUUCACUGCCAGAGAUGGUCCCAAGGUUGAGGUACUUGAAUCUAUCCGCUAAUGGAUUCUUUGGCUCGAUACCUCGCUCAUUCUCAAGGCUCCAAAAGCUCGAGACACUACGUCUCGAGAAUAAUAAUCUCACAGGAGGAAUCCCAGAGGAGCUGGGGAUGAUGUCUGCACUGCGAUGGCUGAUCCUUUACAACAACCCACUUGGCGGGUCAAUCCCUGCCUCACUCGGGCAGCUCCAUUCCCUCCAGUAUCUCUACAUAAAUGAUGCUGAUUUGGUUUCUACUCUUCCACCUGAGCUGGGGAACCUUACUAGUCUCGAGUACAUGUUCCUGGAAGGGAAUCAUUUAUUUGGAAGCUUGCCACUAUCUUUUGCCAGGGUGCAAACAAUGAUGUAUUUCAGUCUAGGGGACAACAAUAUCAAUGGUACCAUCCCCUCAGAGAUGUUUACGAACUGGACAAACCUUAAGUACUUCAAUGUUGCAAACAACUUGUUAGUUGGAAGCAUCCCAUCGCAGCUCAGGGUGCAAACAAUGGUGUAUUUCAGUGUAGGGGACAACAAUAUCAAUGGUACCAUCCCCUCAGAGAUGUUUACAAACUGGACAAACCUUAAGUACUUCAAUGUUACAAACAACUUGUUAGCUGGAAGCAUCCCAUCGCAGCUCAGCAACUCCGAGGCGUUAUAUCUUCUCAGCCUCUCUGGAAAUAACUUUACUGGCUCGAUCCCGGUGGAGAUGGGAAACAUGGUAAACUUGGAAUUGCUGGAUUUGGCCAAGAAUCACCUUACUGGAACAAUACCACCUACUAUCGGCAAUUUAACAAAGUUGCGCUCACUUGACAUCAGUGACAACCGUCUCGAGGGUGAGCUUCCUAUGGCCAUCUCCUAUCUGAGGAAUCUUCUUGUUCUCUCCUUGUCUGGAAACAAGUUCACUGGUAUCACUCCUAAUGUCCACAGCAGGCAGUCGACGAUUAUUAAUGUGGUCGACAACAACAACAGCGUCUUUGGAGAAUCAUUGUCUGCCUAUUGUAACCUAAUAAUGCUACAAGUCCUGGAUCUAUCAAAGAAUCAAAUAUUUGGAGAUCUCCCUGGUUGCUUGUGGAACUUGGGAGAACUGCAAUCCUUGGAUUUGUCGAGCAAUGCUUUUGGUGGGGAAGUUCCAACCUCGGGUCACUAUAGUUCUGUGCUAAGCUCGCUGCACCUGUCAAACAACAACUUCACGGGUUGCUUUCCAGCAGUGUUGAAGAACUUCAAUAACCUUGUCAUUUUGGAUCUCGGGAAUAAUAAGAUGUCUGGCGCAAUUCCUCCGUGGAUAGGGAAAAGCAAUCCUUUGUUGAGGAUCCUUGGACUGCGAUCAAACAUGUUCAAUGGAAGUAUUCCCUGGCAGCUAUCACAGCUGUCUAAUCUCCAACUGCUUGAUCUAGCUGAAAAUAAUUUUGUAGGUUCCAUACCACAAAAUUUCGCCAACUUUUCCCUGAUGAGACAGACAUCCAUGAUGCCGCCGGUUAUAAUAAUGGACAUAUUAUAUACCCAGCAUGAUGAUUUUUAUGGCCACAUGGAUAUAGUUUGGAAGGGACGGGAGUACACCUUUCAAGGAAGAGAUGCAUUUGUAACUGGUAUUGACCUCUCUGGCAAUUCUCUCUCUGGUGAAAUCCCUUCAGAGUUGACAAGUCUUAGAGGCAUCCAGUUACUAAAUAUGUCAGGAAACUAUCUUUCUGGUGGUAUCCCCAAGGACAUUGGCAAUUUGAAGUGGUUAGAAUCCCUUGACCUCUCGUGGGACAAGCUAUCCGGUCCUAUUCCUCCUAGCAUAUCAAACCUGGUAUUCCUCUGCUGUCUUAAUCUCUCGAACAACCUUUUAUCAGGAGAGAUACCUACAGGCAAUCAACUCCAAACAUUGGAUGACCCAUCAAUUUAUAGCAAUAACCUGGGACUUUGUGGCUCUCUGUUGAACAUUUCGUGUAAAAAUAGUUCAAGUCUGACGACCACUUCAGAUCAAGAUCUUGAAGCCAUUUGGAUGUACUACUCAGUGAUUGCUGGAACAGUUUCUGGUUUGUGGCUAUGGUUUGGUACACUGUUUUUAUGGAAGAUUUGGAGAUGUGCUUUCUUGAGUUGCAUAGAUGCCAUGCAGCAGAGAGUUAUGAACAAGAUGAAGCAUACCUGGGAGUAUAGGAAGCUGUCCAAGUAUUGA